This 105-nucleotide small nuclear RNA is filed under the name Dasypus novemcinctus (nine-banded armadillo). The record is from RNAcentral. Lineage: Eukaryota; Metazoa; Chordata; Mammalia; Cingulata; Dasypodidae.
GUGCUUGCUUCGGCAGCACAUAUACUAAAAUUGGAAUGAUAGGGAAGAUUAGCAUGGCCCCUGUGCAAGGAUGAUGCACAAAUUCAUGGAGCGUUCCCUAUUUUC